RNAcentral lists this ribosomal RNA (494 nucleotides) under uncultured bacterium. Its description in RNAcentral is "partial 16S ribosomal RNA". It matches the Rfam family "Bacterial small subunit ribosomal RNA", at positions 28 to 507 of the family's 1533-position model. The record is from RNAcentral.
GACGAACGCUGGCGGCGCGCUUAACACAUGCAAGUCGAACGGAAAGGCCUGCUUUCCCUUGUGGAUUGCGGGUACUCGAGUGGCGAACGGGUGAGUAACACGUGAGUGAUCUGCCCCCAACUUGGGUAUAAGCCUGGGAAACUGGGUCUAAUUCCCGAUAGGACUGCAGGGUGGUGCCUGUGGUGGAAAACGAUUUUCUAGUGGUUGGGGAUGAGCUCGCGGCCUAUCAGCUUGUUGGUGGGGUAAUGGCCUACCAAGGCGGCGACGGGUAGCCGGCCUGAGAGGGUGGACGGCCACAUUGGGACUGAGAUACGGCCCAGACUCCUACGGGAGGCAGCAGUGGGGAAUAUUGCACAGUGGGCGGAAGCCUGAUGCAGCGACGCCGCGUGGGGGAUGACGGCCUUCGGGCUGUAAACUCCUUUCGACCGCAAGGAAGCCACCUGGUUGGAAGGGUGGUGACGGUAGUGGUAGAAGAAGCACCGGCUAACUACGUG